GGUGCUUGUGCCUUCAUAGACGCUACACAUAUACGCGAUGAAAGAGAGACGAAGACGACGCAAUUCUCUCUUUGUCUAGCGAUCAGUGUACUACCAGUAUCGACAAUAUCGAAAAGUGGAUGUAGCACAGACAUGAACCAAAAUUGAAAAGUGGACGUAGCACGGAAAUGAAUCAUUCGGCCGUUUUAUCCUGCUUGAAAAUGAACGUGGCCAUGUAGUUCCAAGCGGCCGUAAAAUGGACGUAGAGGCGUUGUUGUACGGAACCGAGAGCUAGUACGAAAAACGUCGGGAUCGCUCUCAGUCUUCUCUCUGCCAGCAGGCAAGCUAUUUUGCUCUGAUUGAUCAAUCCACAAUCAUCAACCGUAAUCUCAAUUUGUACAAAGAAAAUAAUUGUUUUUUAAAAAAAGUGUAAUUAUUUACAUUUUUUUAUAACAAUUAUUUUUUUUUAUAAUUGAUUCAUCUUAUUAUUUUGUACAUAAAAGUCUUACGAUCUGAGCACUCGCUACCCCCACUUCGGAUUUUGUGUAGAAGACCGUGGAUUAACAUGGGGGCGUGAUUUAAUCUAAUGUGGCGACUGCAAGGCAGACAGUAUGGUCGGUUAAGAAUAUGCAAACGUCAUAUUUUCUUUACAAGGUUUAUACUUAUAUUAAGUAUACACAAGCAUUUGAAUACUCAGUUAGUGCUAUUCUUUUAAAGCUAAUGUCCAGUAGGUAGCCAAUUCUUUUUACAUUUU
This is a long non-coding RNA of Cataglyphis hispanica, 733 nucleotides long. RefSeq lists it as uncharacterized. The transcript is spliced from 3 exons. NCBI's taxonomy places the organism in Eukaryota, Metazoa, Arthropoda, Insecta, Hymenoptera, Formicidae. The record is from RefSeq and is a predicted model, not a curated record.